Pelagibacterium sp. SCN 63-126 is the source of this 57-nucleotide non-coding RNA. The record is from Rfam. Lineage: Bacteria; Pseudomonadati; Pseudomonadota; Alphaproteobacteria; Hyphomicrobiales; Devosiaceae.
GCGUAACGCCGGGCCCCUCUGGUCAUGGACUCUCCAUGGCGAUGUCGGAGUUACUCC